GCGGCCAUAGUUAAACAGGAUAUAACUGCCCCCUCCUAAGGGGCUGUUCGGGGUUCGAGUCCUCGUGGCUGUACCA
Molecule: transfer RNA, 76 nt
Filed under: Thiomicrorhabdus sp.
Lineage: Bacteria; Pseudomonadati; Pseudomonadota; Gammaproteobacteria; Thiotrichales; Piscirickettsiaceae
Also listed under: 2 other names
Description: tRNA-Arg
Rfam family: tRNA
About the family: Transfer RNA (tRNA) molecules are approximately 80 nucleotides in length. Their secondary structure includes four short double-helical elements and three loops (D, anti-codon, and T loops).
Source: RNAcentral